RNAcentral lists this unclassified non-coding RNA (376 nucleotides) under soil metagenome. RNAcentral's name for it is "partial contains 5.8S ribosomal RNA, internal transcribed spacer 2, and large subunit ribosomal RNA". The stretch from base 1 to 120 matches the Rfam family "5.8S ribosomal RNA", at positions 35 to 154 of the family's 154-position model. The record is from RNAcentral.
GAUGAAGAACGUAGUGAAAUGCGAUAAGUAAUGUGAAUUGCAGAAUUCAGUGAAUCAUCGAAUCUUUGAACGCAUCUUGCGCUCCUUGGUAUUCUGAGGAGCAUGCCUGUUUGAGUGCCAUUAAAUUCUCAACUACACUGACUUUGAAUUGGUGUGGCUUGGAUUUGGGGGGAAAAUUGUUGUGGGCUUUUUGUAUAGUCUGCUCCCCUGAAAUUGAUUAGCGGUACCUUUGUGGAACUGUCUACAGGUGUGAUAAUUAUCUACAUCUUAGACAUCUGCUGGAAUGCUGCUUUCUAAACCUUACUUGUAUUGACAAUCUUGACCUCAAAUCAGGUAGGACUACCCGCUGAACUUAAGCAUAUCAAUAAGCGGAGGA